Molecule: ribosomal RNA, 465 nt
Filed under: uncultured bacterium
Lineage: Bacteria
Description: partial 16S ribosomal RNA
Rfam family: Bacterial small subunit ribosomal RNA
Source: RNAcentral
CCUACGGGUGGCAGCAGUAGGGAAUCUUCGGCAAUGGGCGAAAGCCUGACCCAGCAACGUCGCGUGAAUGAAGAAGGCCUUCGGGUUGUAAAAUUCUGUUAUAAGGGAAGAAAGGUGAUAGGUGGAAAUGACUAUCAAUUGACGGUACCUUAUGAGAAAGCCACGGCUAACUACGUGCCAGCAGCCGCGGUAAUACGUAGGUGGCAAGCGUUAUCCGGAAUUAUUGGGCGUAAAGAGCGCGCAGGUGGUUAAUUAAGUCUGAUGUGAAAGCCCAGGGCUUAACCGGGGAGGGGCAUUGGAAACUGGUUGGCUAGAGUGCAGUAGAGGGGAGUAGAAUUCCAUGUGUAGCGGUGAAAUGCGUAGAGAUAUGGAGGAAGACCAGUGGCGAAGGCGGCCUCCUGGUCAGAAACUGACGCUGAGGUGCGAAAGCGUGGGGAGCAAACAGGAUUAGAUACCCUAGUAGUC